CCAACGCCCUUCGGGGCUUCUUGGUGAUUCAUGAUAACUUCACGGAUCGCAUGGCCUUGCGCCGGCGAYGGUUCAUUCAAAUUUCUGCCCUAUCAACUUUCGAUGGUAAGGUAUUGGCUUACCAUGGUUUCAACGGGUAACGGGGAAUUAGGGUUCGAUUCCGGAGAGGGAGCCUGAGAAACGGCUACCACAUCCAAGGAAGGCAGCAGGCGCGCAAAUUACCCAAUCCCGACACGGGGAGGUAGUGACAAUAAAUACUGAUACAGGGCUCUUUUGGGUCUUGUAAUUGGAAUGAGUACAAUUUAAACCUCUUAACGAGGAACAAUUGGAGGGCAAGUCUGGUGCCAGCAGCCGCGGUAAUUCCAGCUCCAAUAGCGUAUAUUAAAGUUGUUGCAGUU
This 398-nucleotide ribosomal RNA is filed under the name uncultured Ascomycota. Its description in RNAcentral is "SSU rRNA". It matches the Rfam family "Eukaryotic small subunit ribosomal RNA", at positions 224 to 622 of the family's 1831-position model. The record is from RNAcentral. Lineage: Eukaryota; Fungi; Ascomycota.